Molecule: unclassified non-coding RNA, 240 nt
Filed under: soil metagenome
Description: partial contains 5.8S ribosomal RNA, internal transcribed spacer 2, and large subunit ribosomal RNA
Source: RNAcentral
AACAUCGCGCACCUGCGGGAACCUGCGGAAGGAUCAUUAUAGGAAAAUAUAUAUAAAAAACAAGUUGUGGGGGGAACAGUGUGGAGGGGGAGUGUGCAUACUCUGCACUUUUUUUUCGCGCUGUUUUCCCUGCUUCUUCAAACAAACUAUCGCAACUAUAACAGAGAAAAAGGGGGGAAUGUGACUUUUAUUAGUCAAACAACAAAAAAGCUUAUAUCUGAAUUGCUGUAUAUGUGCGCA